GCCUCCCCCUCCCUCCCCUGCAUCACUUCCGGGGAUGAGGAGUCAGCUGGCGGCGCCGCGCCACGCUCCGCUCCGCGACGUGCCUGACGCCGCACGCACACUGAGGGCAGGCGGGCAAGGGGUCCGCACCGCCGCAUCCUCCCUCGCCCGCCGGAGCGGGGGGACGGGGCUUGGCGGCGCCGCAUCGCCGCGGGAGGGAGGGGAGCGGGGCCCCGGCGCGCCUCUUCCCGAAGGUAAAGAGCAGCGGCGGAGAGCGGACGAGGCGGCGCGGGAGAUGACACCAGUUACUCGACAAGAAGUUCUUGGCCUUUACCGCAAGAUAUUCCGAAUAGCCAAAAAAUGGCAGUCUGCAUCAGGACAGAUAGAAGAAACUAUUAAAGAGAAACAGUACAUUAUAAGUGAAGCCAAAACAUUAUUCCAAAAAAACAAAAAUGUAACAGAUCCACAGCUGAUUAAACAGUGUAUAGAAGAAUGUGAGGCAAGAAUAGAAAUUGGACUUCACUAUAAUAUCCCCUACCCAAGACCCAUCCAUCUGCCUCCUAUGGGUCUUGCGUCUAAACAAGGCCGUGCAUUUCGACACCAGGAAAAGUUGAGGAAGUUUUCCAAGCCAAUAUACCUGAAAUCCCAUGAUGAUAUUUCAUAACCCAUCAUUUAAGCUGUGAUGUGUUUGGACUGUAAUCCUGCAACUUUUUUUUGUCCAACUGUGAAUGAAGCUGUUUUGGUCCCAUGCUCACACAUUUCCUGAGGCCAGAUGGCUAACUGAAUACAAUGCAUAUGAUGGAUAAGCACUGGAAGGCCAAGACUGAAAUUUGUUACAACCUCAGGCUCCUCAGGUGAAUGAAGGAUUAGACCAGCUCUGUUGUCAAGUCUGGAGAGCAAAUCUUUCCUUCACAGCCUAAGCUAAGCUCUGUAUGGAAGGGAGAACCUGCCUCGAACAGUAUCUUUUGUCGUUGGAGGUCGAACUGCUAAACUACCACACUGACAGAGCUUCAUAAAAAAGAAUAACCUCUGUAACUCACUCCAGUUGGUCAUUGGUACUCAUAUUAAACACCAAGGACAUAGCUCCCUUGCAAAAUACAACACCGAGUUCUAUGACAAAGUAUCUUGAAGACAUCACAAUAUGUCAUUGCUACACAUUAAUUUUAUUUGCAAAAAGAUGCCGCCCUAAAAUGCCUGAGUUCUUGAGAGUUUGUAAUGCACUGGGUUCAGUUGGUCAGUGUACACUCUGUCCUGUACUUCCCUAACUUCCUUACUCCCCUUCCAGUAAAUCCUGUCUCUUUCCAAUUUAUCAUGCUUGUCAGAAGAUGCUUUAGAAUAAUAACCUGUCAGAUAAUUUGAAAUUCUGUAGAAAUAAAAACCUGAGUCAGCUGCCUGAACUUUCCUGUAAGCUAACCCAUAGGCAAUGCAGUGGUAAUUUGUUGACAUGACAUCUGCCCUUGAAUGUCUAGUAACACCUCCUCUCUGGAAAUUGUCUAACUCCAUCAUUAAUAAGGUCGUAACUUAUGAAACAAAACACUUAUUAAGCCAAAUUCAACAGCAACAUUACCAAGCACACAACCAUUUAAGCAGAUGGGAUUGGCACCUGCUUACUGAGUGUACUCCAUGUUUUACAUGGGUGAAGAAGCUCUCGUUAAGUUGCAGCAGUGACCCAAUCUAUUCCAAGGGAAGUACGUUAGAACUGAGAUAUGGUUAAGCUGGGUUAAGUCAUCUGAUCUGUCUUCCCACUAAUACAAGUUUCUUCUUGUAAUACAUUUUAGAUCUGGAGAAAAUAAAGGCAACUUGGACUUGGCCCUCUUUGGGCCCCACUAUGUAUUAAUCAGAACUGAUGUCAAUAGAUCCAUCUUUUAUCCACAGACAGGUCACUUCUUUGAUCAUACCCUAUGAAUUCAUUUUCAAGAAUGUUAAUUACAGGAGAGACCUUCACCUUUCACUAAUUUUUCUAAUCCUAUUAGUCAAACAUUCUAACUUACAGGAACUCGUAAGAGGAAGAAUUUGGGGCCAUUGCAUUGUCUUUUUGCCUUUUCAUAGUGUAAUUUUCUCUUUUAGCAGCCCAACAGUGUCAAGAUCAACAGGCACUUUCUGUUUCUGAAAUGGCUUUUUGUAUAGAGAAGAUUAGAAAAAAGCUUCCAUCUCCUGAGAAAAUGUUCCAACCCUACUUGUCUUUCAGCAUCAUUAGCUGAAAAAUCUCUCUCCCCAAUGUUUGUGUACUGUUUCCCCCCCACACCCAGCCCAUCAGCUUUGAGUGACUAGUGAGGCUGGGCAUUUAUGGUAGUAUACAGUAAUUAUAGGUGGAGUUUUCUGUAGUUUGUUUAAUGUGAGUUUCUGCCUGAGAAAUAGAAACACUAAACCUGUAAAACUAAGAAUUCUAGUACUACUACUAUAAGGAACUUCAUUUGUCCACAAAUUUUUCACAUUUUAAUCAUGAAAUUAAAGUUGGUCCAACUAACAGCUGAGUUGCCUUUUUCUUUUUCCUGUUCACUCAGCCAACAAAGGUUGUCAAGUCUCAUGCUCAGCCAGUUUAUCAUUCUUCAGGAAGCCCUAAAUAAAACUCAGCAAAUAAGGUUGGGAAGCUCACUUCAAAAAAAAAUCACAGAAACAUAUCUCUAAGACAGAUAUCUCUCAACAGUAAAUUCCACUAUUUUUUCUCUAACAGUAAAAGCUGCUCAGGAAAUCACAAACCUCUUCAAGACUUCAAUAACCAUGAAAUAAAGCAACUUAGCCAUACCUGAUCUCCACUGGAGG
This is an RNA transcript of Dromaius novaehollandiae (emu), 2742 nucleotides long. It is a transcript of the gene named LYR motif containing 1, with no coding region annotated. The record is from RefSeq and is a predicted model, not a curated record. The transcript is spliced from 5 exons. Lineage: Eukaryota; Metazoa; Chordata; Aves; Casuariiformes; Dromaiidae.